Arachis ipaensis is the source of this 102-nucleotide non-coding RNA. The record is from RefSeq and is a predicted model, not a curated record. Lineage: Eukaryota; Viridiplantae; Streptophyta; Magnoliopsida; Fabales; Fabaceae.
CUUUUGGCGUGUUUGUUGCUUUUUAAGUUUUUCUUUGAGCACAUCUAUUUCCUUUGUUAGCUCCUCACGGUCUUGCAUUGCCUCUUGAACCAUGAAUGAUAA